CCUUAGUACGAGAGGACCGGGAUGGACGUACCUCUGGUGUACCAGUUGUCCUGCCAAGGGCAUGGCUGGGUAGCUAUGUACGGAAUGGAUAAGCGCUGAAAGCAUCUAAGCGCGAAGCCAACUUCAAGAUAAGAUUUCCCACCGCAAGGGUAAGACUCCAGAAAGACUAUCUGGUUGAUAGGUCGAAGGUGUAAGUGCAGCAAUGUAUUUAGCUUAUCGAUACUAAUAGGUCGAGGACUUGACCAAU
Molecule: ribosomal RNA, 247 nt
Filed under: Clostridioides difficile
Lineage: Bacteria; Bacillati; Bacillota; Clostridia; Peptostreptococcales; Peptostreptococcaceae
Description: partial 23S ribosomal RNA
Rfam family: Bacterial large subunit ribosomal RNA
Source: RNAcentral